Molecule: ribosomal RNA, 303 nt
Filed under: uncultured bacterium
Lineage: Bacteria
Description: partial 16S ribosomal RNA
Rfam family: Bacterial small subunit ribosomal RNA
Source: RNAcentral
AGCAGUCGCCACGGUAAUGCGUAGGUGGCAAGCGUUGUCCGGAAUUAUUGGGCGUAAAGGGCUCGCAGGCGGUUUCUUAAGUCUGAUGUGAAAGCCCCCGGCUCAACCGGGGAGGGUCAUUGGAAACUGGGAAACUUGAGUGCAGAAGAGGAGAGUGGAAUUCCACGUGUAGCGGUGAAAUGCGUAGAGAUGUGGAGGAACACCAGUGGCGAAGGCGACUCUCUGGUCUGUAACUGACGCUGAGGAGCGAAAGCGUGGGGAGCGAACAGGAUUAGAUACCCCAGUAGUCCCUGUCUCUUAUAC